AGAUUGAACGCUGGCGGCAGGCCUAACACAUGCAAGUCGAGCGGUAGAGAGGUGCUUGCACCUCUUGAGAGCGGCGGACGGGUGAGUAAAGCCUAGGAAUCUGCCUGGUAGUGGGGGAUAACGCUCGGAAACGGACGCUAAUACCGCAUACGUCCUACGGGAGAAAGCAGGGGACCUUCGGGCCUUGCGCUAUCAGAUGAGCCUAGGUCGGAUUAGCUAGUUGGUGAGGUAAUGGCUCACCAAGGCGACGAUCCGUAACUGGUCUGAGAGGAUGAUCAGUCACACUGGAACUGAGACACGGUCCAGACUCCGUACGGGAGGCAG
RNAcentral lists this ribosomal RNA (324 nucleotides) under uncultured soil bacterium. RNAcentral's name for it is "bacterial SSU rRNA". It matches the Rfam family "Bacterial small subunit ribosomal RNA", at positions 26 to 351 of the family's 1533-position model. The record is from RNAcentral.